This 15367-nucleotide long non-coding RNA is filed under the name Gossypium barbadense (sea-island cotton). RNAcentral describes it as "long non-coding RNA (GBAR_LNC006162)". The record is from RNAcentral. Lineage: Eukaryota; Viridiplantae; Streptophyta; Magnoliopsida; Malvales; Malvaceae.
UCCACAAAGUGAUUCGAAUUUUUAGAGGGCAAGAGAGCAUCCAUAUCUGUUGAUAUUGUUUUGGCCAAAUUCAGCCCGGGGCCCAUAAACAAAAAAAUCAAAAUAAAUAGUCCAUUUUGUUUACAAAUUCAGACCCAAAUUUUAAACCAUGGCCCAAAAUACAAACAGUCCAAUACAAAAUUGAAACCCAAACCAAACACUUAAACCCUAGCCCAAACUUUUAAGCCCAAAACCAAAAAACAUUUUUGGUAGAACCCUAGCAACCAGCCUUUAGCCGCCGCCACCGAAGCAGCCCCUAGGCACCGCACGUUGCGCGUCGUGCACUCUUCCACCAUGCCACGUUAGAGACGUGCUUGUUCACGUACCUGCAAAUGUGAAAAACAGUUGCAAAAAUCAGCUAUAAAAUCUAAACAAAUCGUUUGUAAAAGGGGAUCGUUUAUUUUUUUUGGAUUUGAUGAAUACAAAAGCAGAGAAUAUACAAAAAAAAAAUAGAUACACGAGCAAGCUAUUUCAAUAGAAACCAAAUUGAAGAUUCAGGAGGUGGUUUUUUUUUUCACUUUUCGCAUUUUUUUUUCUUUUUUUUUGUUUUUCUUCUCUUUUUGCAAAUUGAUUUUAAACCUAGUUUUAAACAAAAAUCAAAGGAAAAGGCUCACUUGGAUUUUCCCCGUGGUUCGGCGUCGGAGGUGGAGGCGUUGAGGCGCCGAUGACCCUCCUAUGUGGCUCCCCAAAGCAGGGUCGAAACCUUAGCAGAGGGAUAGGGGGCCCUUUUUUUUAAAAAAAAAAAAUUGGAAGGCAAAAGGGGAUUUUGCCCAAAAGACCUUUUUUUUGCUGCAAACAAAACUGCGCAGUUUAAGGGGGAGGGGGAUCCGCGCGUCAACCCGCUCCAGGGCCCAGAUCCGUGCCUUUGCGCAUUAAAUGGGGAAUUUCGCGUCUAGUCCCUUCCCUUUGCGCCAGCUUUCAAUUAGCCCCUAUUGCAUUUUACUUUUUUUUUAAACUUUUCCCUGAACCUUGCGCAUCCUUUCAAUUUAAUCCGUACCUAGGUGUUGCCUUUUGGGAUUUGGAUCAAUUGCACUUUUGGUCCCCGUGCAUUGGCGCGCACUGUGAUUUGACCCUUAUUUUGCUAUCCGUUUUAUUUGUUAAUUAUCCCUUUCAAUUAGGUUUUAUUUCAAUAAUUCUAGGUUUAAAUUUAUUUAACAUUCUUUUUUAAAAAAAAAAAAACCCUUUUUAUUUAAACAUAUAUUCUAGGUUAUUCUAAUCCUUUUUACCUCAUUUCAACUUGGUAUUUUAUUGCUAUUUGUUUUUAAAACAGAGUUAUUAUUUUAAAAAAAUUCUUUUAUGUCAUAUUGUUCUCAAGUUAUGUGUUAUAUUUAAUUUAAUUAUUCUUACAUUAAAUGUAUAUAUAUAAUUUAUAUUAAAGUUAGUUUUGUUCUAUGUAUAUUAUUGUUUUCAUAUUAUUUUAUGUAAAUAUUUUCUUAAAGAUUUAUUUAUUAUAUAUAUAUGCAUAUUUUCUUUUAAACUUAUUAUUGUAUGAUCAGUUCUCUUUAAAGGAUCUCUUUUUAAGGUGUAUAUAUAUAUUUUUAAAUACUUUCAUAUAGUAGUUUUUUGUAUGUACAUUAUUUACCUUAUUUUUUCAUUUUCAUAUAUAUACCGAUAGUCAAAUCAAUUUGUUUUAUUUGAGAUUAUGUUGUAUAUUAUUUAUUUUGAAUUUUUUCUUGCAAAUUAUAUAUAUUUUAAAUAAUCGUUCAUAUAUUAUCAGUUUUUUUCGUACACAUAAAUUAUUUCAAGUUCCAGCAUGGGUUAUUCCUUUGUAUAUUUUUUCCUCCUCUUUCCAUAAGUUUUUAAAUUGUUUUGUGCUAUAUUGGUUUCUAGUUUUCAUAUGGUUUUAUAUAUUAUGUGUCAUCUUUAGUUUUCAUAUUAUAACUACCUAUUAUUGUUUCAUGCAUGUAAUUAGGCUUGUAUUUCUCGUUAAUGCACCAUGAUUAUGAUUCUCAUAUUCUCCGAAUGUCGACCGUCCUUUAUCUCCAAACAAAUCAAACAAAUAUAUCUUGACUUGGUUUUCAUAAUUGUAAACUUGAACCCUCUCAACAUAAGGAAAUAUUUCGUGUUUGGGAGUUCGAGGGGUCAUGCACAAUCGUGCUGGGUUUCGAUUUUUCGUUCAACUAAAAUACGGAAUAUUCUUUGGAAUUUUCGUCCAUACUUUUUAAAAUUAAAAUGAGGCAAUAUUUCGUAUUUGGGGAGUUUGAGAGAUCGUGUCUAAUCGUGCUGGGUUUCAAUCUUCCAUUCGACUAAAAUACAAAAUAUCCUUUUGAAAUUUCACCCAUGUUUUCUUAAAUUAAAAUGAGGCAAUGUUUUGUAUUUGGAAAUUCAAUAAAUCGUGCCCAGUCGUGCUGGGUUUCGAUUUACUGUUUGGGUCAAAUAGCCAAAUAUCCUUUUUUAAAGUUUUAGGUGCAUGUGUUUUAGAAAUCCUGAGGUGAUCUUCUGUCGAGAGUUCGAAAUAUUGUAUCCAAUCGUGCCGGACGUAAUAUUUUAUUCCUUCUAAGCGAGAGAAUCUCAAUAUCCAAUUCAAGUUAUCCAAACGUUUUAAAGGAAUUGUAUUUUAAUUUUUUUUCAAAUUUUCAACAUUAGGACGUUUAUUGACCAAUACGGUACCAAUUUUAGGCGUUGCGAGGGUGCUAAUCCUUCCUCGCGCGUAAUUGACUCCCGAAUCCGUUUUCUAGUUUUUUCGUAGACCAAAAACGUUGUUUUAAUAAACCGAAAUACUUUAUUAAAAUGAUUGAUCACAAGGUGACCCGAUCACACCUAAACAAAAAGGAUAGGUGGUGACUCCAUUUUCGUUUUAAAGUCGAUCUCUGUUUUUCAAAAUAAAAAUGGUUUCGACAGCUUGGUGACUCCACUGGGGACCUAUAAGAGAGUCAAGCCUUAAAAUUGAUUAUUUAUUAUCCUUCUGUCGAAAUUUUAAAAAUUGAUUUUUAACAUACGUUCGUUUCAUCGCAUUUCUGGGUUUUAUGGUUUCCAUUAUAUUUUUUUUACCUUUUGAGUUUUUUCCCCUCCCAUCAUCUUGCAUGACCGUUGUGGUCGCACCUUCUAAGUGGGAGUGAGAAACUAUACCUUAAUGAGGUUUUCACCUCCGCAUGGGUUAGUGGACUGCUUUCGGGAUACAUCUGUACCUAUGUCUUCGUGAGGUUUUCACCUCCGCAUGGCUAUAGGGAAAUGUGUCCUCCUGAACUAAACUCGAUCCGUAUGAGCCUAUAAUGGGUGAGGGUCGAGGAAUCUGUUGGUUCGGGUACCCUCUUCUUUAGAACUGAGCCACAUAUAGUGAACCCUAGGAGUCCACCCUAGACAUAGCUAUGUUGAACCUUAGCGGUUGCCUAGAUAAGUGUUUGACUAUUUUUCUAUUUGCUUUAGAUUUUAUUAUUCAGUCUUAACUUGUUGUGUUUUGAUGUGGCCAUAAUUGCAUAUCAUUCCAUAUUUAGGGAGGUGUCGAUUCUUAUUCAGUUACUAAGUUAGAGAGCUUGCUAUGGAGAGCGAAUUCCUUAAUAAAAUAGAAGAUAAUGCGGCUGUCCGUAUAUGGUCAGAGAAGAUGCAACUUGAGAAAGGGGAUAGCCUAGCUGAGGGGUACAUAUCAGAGUUGUGGGACUUCACCUGUAUCAGCGUUACACAGAAUGAGUUCUAGGAAUUGAGGGAUAUAUGGGCCGAUUAGGGCGAUGAGACUGAGCAACUAUUUUAUCAAAAUUUCGGUGACCUACCCUACCUGCUCGACAUUAAGGUAAACCAUAACUUGUUCCGAGCCAUAACUCAGUUUUAGAAUCCCGCGUAUAGUUGUUCCACUUUUGGAAAUGUGGACUUGGUGCCUACUGUGGAGGAGUAUACAGCUUUGCUUCGUUGUCUAAAGGUUCAAAUCGAUAGAGUUUACUUUAAGUCUGCUAAUGCCCAACCUUUUGUAAAGAAAUUAAUGAGUAUUACCGGGAUAAGUGAACAGUGGGUUACAGCCCGAAUUUAGCAAAAAGGUGAUGGUAAAUGUAUUCCUUAGGUGAGUUUGAGGUAUCUGAUCGUAGUACAUCCAGAUAUGAAGAAGAAGGUUGACAUCUUCGCCUUGAGUAUCUAUGGUUUGGUAAUUUUUCCCAAAGCUCUAAGGCAUAUAGACGAAGCACUGGCCUAUUUAUUUGAUCAGCUUGACAAAAGAAGCCACACCGGUGCCGGCGAUUCUAGUUGAGACGUUUAGAUCCUUGAGUGCAUAUCGGAAGGCAGGAGAGGGCAAAUUUAUAGGGUGCGCACAGUUAUUGUCAGUAUGGUUCCAUAGCCAUUCUUGGAAGAUGGAUAAAGUUUCUUAUCGGGUUUUCUCUGAAAAUUAUUCCUCGCUAAAAGAGAUAACAGCAACGCCUAGGAGAGACGAUAUAUUAGAGGAGAAUUGGAUCGCGCUAUUUCGAAAUCUCCAGGAAGAAGAAGUUGAGUGGAAAGCUCAUUGGAUGGUUCCCGACGAGAUCCUCUAUCGGUGUGGGAGUUUUGAUUAGGUACCUCUACUCGGAAUUUGAGGAGCCGUUGGAUAUGCCCUUUGCUUGUGUUGAGGCAAUACAGGUUGAGACAGUUCAUACCAAUAAUGCAUGAGUUAGCUUGGAGUGAGUUCUCAUAUAGGGGGGACCAUUAUAAGAAGAAGGUUCGAGAGAUUGUUGAUGCUUGGAGACAAACAUGGCAGAUAAAGAGGUUGGCUGUAGGUUCAAUGACAACCCCAAAAUACGAUGGGUGGUUGCACAGAAGGAUCAAUGAUAAUAUCCCUCAGCCGAGUUUAAAAGGCAUCAAAUCGAUGGAUGAAUACCUACAAGUAAUCCCCUCCGAGCUAGAAAUCAUCAAGCAAGACUUCGAGAAGAGAAAUUUAGAGUUAGGGAAAAAGAUAGAGCAGUUGAAAGAAGAAAAGAUGCAUUUGAGGUUAGAUGUUGAUGUUCAGAAACUCGAGGCUGAGAAGUUAAGAAAGGGAAAGAGGAAGGUCGAAGAGGACUUGGACAGUUUGAAGACUAAUUACAAAAAGCUGCAUAUGUCAAUGAGAACAGCCGGAUUGGAAAAGACAUCGGAGCAGUGGCGACAAGAAGUUUAAGAGGAAAAGGCCAGAGCUGAUCAAUGGGAGAAGAGGUUCCACGAUGCUCGAGCACGUGAAAGCGCAUUGAGGAAGAGUUUGGUAGAAGUCUAAGAGGAGAAGCAGAUAUUAACAGCUCGUGUAACGGAGUUAGAAAGGGCGCUGCAUCAGAGUCGUGGUCGUAACUUUGACAUUGAACUAGGGGCAAGCCUGAGCAGGGUCGAGGAUUUAAAAGGAAGGGUAGAAGAACUUGAGGCUGCGUUACAAAAUUGUGAGCUUCGAAUUGAAUUUAUUGAGUCGAAUAAUAAGCAAUGGAAGGAAUAGCUUCGCCGAUCGUAGGACCAGGUCAGGGAUAGCGAUCAUAUCAUGGGCAAAGCCGUGGCACAGAUUCGACCAGUGGCCGAUCAUUUACAAAUCUUAGCGUUUCAGGCUGAUGUGCUAAGUGUGAAGUAUGAGUUAGAGUCAGACUGGGGUCGUGAGCUGGCUUGCCUUCUUGAGAAACUUAAAACUUUAAGCAUUAGGGUAAAGUUGUAUAUAUAAUCUGUUUUACGUAUAGGAUUUUGUUGUCUAAGAAAAUUUCUAAAUGGAAUUGGAUCAGAAUCGACAUCCUUUUAGUUUUGCAUUCAUCUCAUGCAUUUACAUUUCAUCACAUCAUGUGCAUUAAAUUUUUUUAAAAAAAAGCCUUAAUUAAUCUAAAAUUGUAUUAUAGUUACCCUGGAACAUCAAUACUACACAUGAAAAAAAACCAAAGCUAUGGAUCAGAGACUAGAAAAAUUAGAACAAAUGCAGAGAGAAAUGAAGGAGCGGCUGCAAGCAUAGAUGCAAGAGCAACUGACCAAGAUUCAGUAAGAUAUGAAAGAUCAAAUGCAAGAAUCGCAGAAGGACACGAUGAAUCAGCUAACUCAGUUGUUGCUCGGAGGGCCAAGAAAAGGGAAGAGCCCUAUGGUCAACCCAGAGGGCGAUAGCGAGAUCCGUACUUAUCCUCCAAGUUUCACCCUAGUGAAUACCCCAGUACCACCUCAAAGGGUGUCUGUCAAUAUCAAACCCCAGUAUUAAGCUGGUAUUUCGGCACCAAUGAAUUUCCCGACGGGCUCGUGUUCUAAACCCGAGGACGAUCGGGUAAAUCCUUUGGUCCCCGACUUUGAUGAGAUGACAGAGGUGGGGAAGGCAAAAAGAGGACUCCUAGAGCAACUGAAAGUCCGAUACAAAUGGCUGGAAGAAAAAUUCAAGACGCUGGAAAGCACAGAUUAUGAAUGUGGUAUGGAUGCUAAAGAGUUGAGUUUGGUUCCAGAUCUAGUGCUCUUUCCGAAGUUCAAAAUGCCGGAGUUUGAGAAAUACAACGGAACCAGCUGCCUUGAGGCCCACAUCAUAAUGUUUUGUCAGAGGAUGAUUGGUCAUGUCUAUAAUGAUCAGUUGCUAGUUCAUUGUUUCCAGGAUAGUCUGAGUGGGGUUGCGGUCAAAUGGUACAAUCAGUUGAGUCGCACCCAAAUUAAAUUGUGGAGGAACUUAGCACAGGCCUUCAUUAAGCAGUAUGGCCAUGUAACGGACAUAGCGCUUGAUCAGAUCACGUUACAAAACAUGAAGAAGAAGUCAAAUGAGAGUUUCAGGUAGUAUGCUCAGAGGUGGAGGGAAGUCGCUACGUAAGUUCAACCGCCGCUUUUGGAAAAGGAGACAACCAUGCUUUUCAUUAAUACUUUGAAGGCACCUUUUAUUAACCACAUGCUGGGAGGUGCAACAAAGAGUUUCACGGACAUAGUGAUGUCCGGUGAAAUGAUAGAGAAUGUGAUAAGGUGUAGAAAGAUAGAGGCUGGGGAGAGCACCAGGAGGUCAGCCCCGAAGAAGAGAGAAAAUGAGGUUGGCAAUGUGAGCAUGGGUCAUAUAAAACCAAUCACAAUUAAUCAACCAAAAAUGACAGUCACGAGCCAGCAAGCUUCGUCAAGACAGGAGCUCAGUACGAAACAAAGCACGGAGAAGCUCCGGUUCACUCCAAUUCCAAUAAUAUACCAGGAGCUGUACAAAAGUCUAUUCGAUGCGUACGUUGUAUCCCCGUUCUACUUAAAACCGUUGCAACCCCUGUACACCAAGUGGUAUGAUGCAAGUGCCCAAUGUAAAUAUCAUGCGGGCAUCGCGGGACACUCGAUAGAGAACUACACCUCCUUCAAAAGAGUAGUCAAAAGGCUCAUUAACAUGGGUGUUGUGAAGUUUGAUGAUGCACCUGAUGUAGGAAACUCGUUAUCCAAUCAUACUGUUAAUGGGGUAAACGCAGUAGUCGAGUAUAUGGGAAGGAGAGUUAGGUUGGAUGUAGCGGAAGUAAAAACCCUGAUGAGGGAGGUUUUGAAGAAGAUGGUAGAGAAAUGUCUAAUCAUGCAAGACUUUAGGAGUAAAUCCCAAGAAGUAGGGAACUAUUGUGAGUUCUACGAAGAGGAGAACCAUGAGAUUGAAACAUGUGAUGAAUUCAGAGCCCUAGUGCGAGAUCUAAUGGACAACAAGGAGCUGGAGUUAUUUGGGUUUGCUGAGGAGAAAGAUGUGUACACCUUGGAGGAAGGGCUAAUAAAGAGGGUCUGUGAGGUCAAUCACCUAGUGGUGAUCAUUUCAUGAUCGAAAGUCGAUGAAGCUAGAGCAAGAACGACACCAAGAGUUAUGAUUCAGAAACCCAUGGCUUUUCCUGCAAAAGGGUGCCUUGGAAUUAUAACUGUAAUGUGACGUCAUUAGGAGAAGGGAGUUGGUCAGCAUGCCAGAUACAAAAGUCAAACCCGUAAAAGAGAAAUCUUUGAUGUUUGAACAGGGGGAAGAGAGGACAAAACCACUAGUUAAUGAAUCGGUAAUCGCAGAUGAAGCAAAAAAAUUUCUGAAGUUCCUAAAACACAAUGAGUAUAGUGUUGUGGAAUAGUUGUACAAGCAGUCAGCACGCACCUCGAUACUAGCUUUGUUCCAAAAUUCAGAGUACACCGUAAUGCGUUGAUGAAUGUGUUGAAUGAAACUUGUGUCGCUGAAGACAUUCCGGUGAACAAGCUAGACCGUCUUUUCAGCAAUAUAAGUGCCGAUAACUUUAUUUCUUUCAGUGAUGAUAAGAUACCGCCAGGUGGCAUAGGGUCCAUCAAAGCUCUGCACAUCACCACUCGGUGCAAAGGGUAUAUACUACCGAGGGUAUUGAUUGACAAUGGGUCGGCACUGAAUGUCUUGCCACUGCCCAUAUUAAAUAGGUUACCUAUUUAUAGCUCUCAUAUGAAGACAUGCCAGAACAUAGUGAGAGCGUUCGAUGGCACCAAGAGGAAAGUAAUGGGUAGAAUUGAGAUCCCCCUUCUGAUCGGACCCAACAUGUACGAGGUAGACUUUCUCAUGAUGGACAUCAAGCCCUCUUAUAAUUGUUUACUGAGGAGGCCUUGGAUUCACUCAGUGGGAGUGGUACCAUCAUCAUUGCACCAGAAGCUGAAGUUGGUAACAGAGGGUCGGCUAAUAACCAUAAAUGCAGAGGAGGACAUUAUAGCCUCUGUUACUAGUGACGCGUCGUACAUCGAGAAUGAUGAUGAAGCAAUUGAGUGUUUCUUUCGAUAAUUUAAAUUUGUCAAUGCGACUUUCAUUAUCGAAGGAGGCAAGAUCCCAAUGCCAAAAAUAUCCGAAGCUACAAGGAUGAGCUUACAACUGAUGGUAGGUAAAGGGGCAUUGCCUGGAAGGGGACUUAGAAAAACCUCCAUGGACGGGUUGAAGUGCCGGGUUUAGCUGGCAAGCAGGAUCGUUUCGGUUUGGGAUAUAGGCCGGAGGCCAAACAAAGAAAGAAAAAGUUAGAGAGGAAACAUGAUAGACGAAGGGCACGAUUGAGUGGGACAGAGGUCAAAUGGGAGUCAAUGACCUUUCCCCACAUAUCCAAUACAUUCGUGUCAGGAGGAAUUAUUCAUCUGGAAUCAGAGAUGACAAGAAAAGAUACAGCUAAAUAUUUGAUAGGCAAUUUGAGCAUCAACGCCCUAUCUGAAGAGAGAGUGAUGGAAAGAGACUUAUUAGGCAUUCACCCUUAUGAGCCUGGCAGUGUUCUAAACAAUUGAACUGUGGAAGAAAUUCCUAUAGUUCUUAGAGCUAAUACAGAGUAAUGUUUAGAACACACUUAUUGUUUUAAGCCUAGAAACAAUAAGAAUCUUUUGUGAAAUAGGCUCAUGUUCAAACAUAUUUAUUUAAUAAGAAAUGCAUUUUUGUGUCUCAUUCUGGGCAAAUAUUCUUUCAUAUUCUCAUUACAUUCAUAAUCAUGCCAUACAAAUAAGCCACCCUUUGAUUUAUUCUUUGGAUAUUUCUUUUGUGUUAUAAUACGUCUCCAGAUAUCAACAUUACGAGCGACAUUGUUACAGACUCAGGAUCUCCUUUUGAGCGAGAUAUGUGUUUAGGGGGAUCUCAGGAUUUUGAAGAUGACGAAGAUUGUGGGAUAUCUCCGGAUUUGUUAAGGAUGGUAGAACGAGAAGAGAAACAUAUUCAACCCCAUAAGGAGACAACUGAGAAUGUGACUUUGGAAGAAGGGAAUGAAGUGAAAAUUAGAACUUGUAUAACCGAGGAAACAAGGCAAGACCUUGUUAAACUGUUGCAGGAGUUUAAAUAUGUCUUCGAGUGGUCGUAUCAAGACAUGCCUAGUUUAAGCGCUGAUAUUGCGGUACAUCGAGUCCCCAUAAAAGAAUAGAGCAAGCCUGUUCAGCAGAAGCUUCGAAGGAUAAGGCCCGAUGUUGCAGUAAAAAUAAGAGCAGAGGUCAGGAAACAAUUUGAUGCUGGGUUCUUACAAAUGGUGAAUUACUCGGAAUGGGUAGCCAAUGUCGUCCCCGUCUCUAAGAAAGAUGGAAAAGUACGGAUGUGUUUGGGUUACAGAGACCUAAACAAGGCUAGCCCAAAUGACAACUUCCCGCUGCCCCAUAUUGACACUUUGGUGGAUAAUACGGCAGGUUACUCAUGGUUCUCUUUCAUGGAUGGUUUCUCGGGAUACAAUCAAAUAAAGAUGCAUUUUACAAAUAUGGAAAAAACCACGUUCAUAACCUUGUGGGAAACAUUUUGCUAUAAGGUGAUGCCAUUUGGGUUAAAAAAUACGGGAGCAACGUAUCAAAGAGCUAUGGUAACCUCGUUUCACGACAUAAUGCACAAGAAGAUUGAAGUUUUCGUCGACAAUAUGAUCGCAAAGUCCCGAACAGAAAAAACACAUACAGGUUUUGAGGAAAUUAUUCUUAAGGCUGAGAAAGUUCCAACUAAAACUCAAUCCAACAAAAUGUACUUUCGGAGCUAGAUCAGGAAAGCUAUUUGGUUUUGUUGUCAGUGAAAAAAAUUGAGGUCGACCUCGACAAAGUCAAGGCUAUUCAGCAAUUACCCUCGUCAUGCACUCAGAAGGAAGUUCGAGGCUUUUUGGAAAGACUAAACUAUAUCGCCCGAUUUAUUUCGCAACUAACUGAGAAAUGCGACCCCAUAUUUCGUCUUCUCAAGAAAUAAAACCCAGGUGUGUAGGAUGAAGAGUGCCAGAAGACCUUUGACAGGGUUAAACAAUAUGUUUCCAAUCCCCUAGUGUUAACACCACCUAACCCGAGUAGACCAUUGAUAUUGUAUUUGACAGUAUUUGACCAUUCAAUGGGAUGUGUGCUUGAUCAACACGAUAACACAGGAAAGAAAGAAAAGGCGAUAUAAUACCUUAGUAAGAAAUUCACUGAGUGUGAGAUGAGAUAUUCGCCAAUUGAGAAGCUAUGUUGUGCUUUAGUCUAGACAACUCAGACAUUGAGGCAGUACAUGUUGUACCAUACGACUUGGUUAAUCUCGAAAUUAGAUCCUCUUAAGUACAUGAUGGAGUUAGCGGCUUUGAAUGGAAGGAUGACCCGAUGGUAAAUUCUGCUUUCUGAAUUCGACAUAGUUUACGUGAGCUAGAAGGCUAUAAAGGGAGUGCAAUAGCAUAUUUUCUAGCCAGUAGAGCUUUAGAAGAUUACGAGCCUUUGAAUUUUGAUUUUCUCAAUGAAGAUCUAAUGUAUGUGGCAGCCACUCAAGAAGACACUCCGGAAGAUCAUCCUUGGAAACUAAAUUUCAACGAAGCAUCAAACGCCGUUGGUAAUGGAAUUGGGGCAGUCUUGAUAUCCUCAAAUGGAGAUCACUAUCCAUUCACUUGCAAAUUGGAUUUUGAUUGCCCAAAUAAUAUGGCAGAGUACGAAGCAUGUAUCAUGGGUAUCCGUGCGAUCGUGAUCGCAAAAUCAAGGUGUUAGAGGUAUAUGAGGAUUCUGCAUUGGUGAUCUAUCAGCUCAAAGGUGAAUGGGAAACAAAAGACUCAAAGUUGAUCAAUUACCGAGAGCUGGUUCUGGACUUAAUCAAGGCAUUUGAUGAUAUCACCUUCCAUUAUCUCCCGCGUGAUGAAAAUCAGAUAGCUAAUGCCUUAGCUACGCUAGCUUCCAUGAUCAGAGCAAAUAAACAAGAAGAUAUGAAGCCAAUCCAGAUGAGUAUUUACGAUGCUCCAGCUUAUUCCCGCAAUAUUAAUGUAGAGGAAGAGAAGGAUGAUCAUCCUUGGUAUUAGAAUAUUCUACGAUAUGUGAAAAAUCGUGUAUAUCCUGAUUAGGCAACAGAAAAUGAUAAAAGAAUGUUGAGGAGGCUGGCCGUUGACUAUGUCUUAGAUGGUGAAAUCUUGUAUAAAAGAAGGAAAGGCCAAGUGCUGCUAAGAUGUGUUAACACUGUUGAAGCGAAGAAAAUCCUAGAAGAAGUUCAUGAAGGUGUCUACGGGACGCAUGCCAAUGGGUUCACAAUGGCCAGACAAAUUAUGAGAUUCGGGUAUUACUGGUCUACAAUGGAAGGAGAUUGCAUCAAUUAUGCCAAAAAAUGCCAUAAGUGCCAAAUUUAUGGUGGUAAGAUCCAUGUGCCUUAUUCACUUCUUCAUGUUAUGACUUCCCCAUAGCUUUUCUCAGUGUGGGGCAUGGAUGUCAUUGGGCCGAUUUCGCCGAAGGCUUCUAACGGACAUUGUUUCAUCUUUGUGGUCAUCGAUUAUUUUACCAAGUGCGUGGAGGCUGCUUCAUACGCCAGCAUCACGAAGUCAGCGGUCAGCAAGUUUUUAAAAAAGGAAAUCAUAUGUCGAUAUGGCAUGCCAGAGAGGAUCAUAUCUGACAACGUGUUAAAUUUUAAUAAUAGUAUGAUAGUGGAGGUCUGCAAUCAAUUCAAAAUUAAGCACCACAACUCAUCACUAUAUCGCCUGAAAAUGAAUAGGGCAGUUGAGGUGGCUAAUAAAAAUAUAAAGAAGAUCGUGGGGAAAAUGGUUGAGACCUACAAGGAUUGGCAUGAAAAGUUACCAUUUGCUUUCUAUGCCUAUCGAACGUCGGUCAGAACUUCCACCGGGGCAACACCUUUCUCUUUGGUUUAUGGGAUGGAAGCAGUAUUGCCAAUUGAAGUCGAGAUUCCUUCUCUCCGGGUUUUAUCUGAAUUGAAGCUAGAUGAAGCAGAAUGGGUCCAAUCCCGGUACGAUCAGCUAAACUUGAUUGAAGAAAAGAGGUUGAGAGCUAUUCGUCAUGGUCCAAUGUACCAAAAGAGAAUGAUGCAAGCUUACAACAAGAAAGUUUGCCCAAGAGUAUUCUAGGAAGGGGACUUGGUACUAACUAUGCAAAAGGAUUUCAGAGGGAAAUGGAUGCCAAACUGGGAAGGACCCUAUGUAGUGGAGAAGGCUUUUUCUAGAGGGGCACUGGUAUUAGCAGAAAUGGAUGGUAAAAGCCUUCUAACCCAGUAAAUUCAGAUUCGGUCAAGAAGUACUUCACCUGAAAAAGGAAGGCCAAGGCGAAAACCUGAAAAGGACGCUUUGAAAAAAAAGAAAAAAGAAAAAUGGAGAGGUCAAGGCGAAAACCCACAAAGGACGCUUUUAAACCAAAGAGGUUUUUAAGUUGAAAACCAGAAAAAUGGCAGAUCAAAUUGUGAUCAAGAAUAGGACAUGUUGCGACCUUAUUCUAGUAGAAUGAACAAGAAGGAGGAACAUUACAUCUUGAAGGCAUCAACGAAAUACUUCAGACCUCCUAAACACAUAUCUGGCUAUCAGGGGUUUUCGAACAGUCCGAAUAGAGAAGCUUACGCUGCGAUAUCUCGGGCACCAAUUUUCCAUCUUAUACAUCUUUUGUACCUUAGUAAAAUCUGUUAUCUUAACUAAUUUUCUACCUCGAGCUUCGUUCUCAAUAAAGUUUCAUCUUGUCUAUUUUGAUAAUCUUUUUCAAAGCAUUUCCUAUUGAAAUAUUGAUUAAUGGACUAAUAACAUUUUCAUAAAAGGAGUUCUGCAUAUUACUCUAGAAGCUUCUAAGUAGUGCAAGAACCCGAAACAGGUCAAUUAUCCAGAACCCACCAAGCUUAAAGGUUAAGGUUACUUGAGAGGUUAAAAGGUUUAAGUUAAGACUAUUACUUCAGAUGUUUGUUAAAGAUAUCAGUUGAACAAUAAGAAAUACGUUAAUGGAAAACAGCGAGCAAUAACAGCUUAAACGUUAAAAAAGGGCAGUUCUCAUGACAUUCUGCAGCACAUCUAACUAGAAGCAUUUGAUUCAUUUUGAUCAUAGCAUCCUAAUUAUUUGACAUAAGCAUCACAUCUACCUAGGAGCAUUUGAUUCAUUUUGAUCAUAGCAUCCUAAUUAUUCAGCAUAAGCAUAAAUACAUGAAACCGAUUUUAUAGAUCAUGUUCCUUAGAGGACGGUGCAGUUGUAUCGGUGAAGUCACGAGCCUUAACCCCCUAAGCAGUAGAGUAACAGGCUACAAAUUAAAGAUCUUAUCUCCAUGUAUCGGAUAUGGAGUAGAUCAGAAAUGGCGAGUCUUACCUCUAUCUAUCUACUAUGGAGCAGAUUUUAGCCACCAACCUUAUCUCUCUGAGGUAGCAAGAGAGCAGGUUGAAGAUAUGAGUCUUAUCUUCCUAAGGUAGCAAGGAAGAAGACUGCAAAUUAUAGAUCUUAUCUCCAUGUAUCUGCUAUGGAACAGAUUUUAGCCACUAGCCUUAUCUCUUUGAGGUAGCAAGAGAGUAGGUUGAGGAUACGAGUCUUAUCUUCCUGAGGUAGCAAGGAAACAGAUUGCAAAUUAUAGAUCUUAUCUCUAUGUAUCGGCUAUGGAGCUGAUCGAAAAUGGUGAGUCUUAUCUCUAUGUAUCAGCUAUAGAGCAUAUUUAAGCUACCGGCCUUAUCUCUCUAAGAUAGCAAGAGAGCAGGUUGAAGAUGCGAGCCUUAACCCCCUAAGUAGUAGGGUAACAGACUGAAAAUUGCAGAUCUUAUCUCCAUAUAUCGGCUAUGGAACAGAUUGAAAAUGGCGAGUCUUAUCUCCAUGUAUCGGCAAUGGAGCAGAUUUAAGCCAUCAGUCUUAUCUCUCUGAGGUAGCAAGAGAGCAGGUUGAAGAUACAAGCCUUAACCUCCUAAGCAGUAGGGUAAUCGGCUGAAAAUUACAGAUCUUAUCUCCAUGUACAGACUAUGGAGCAGAUCAGAUAUGAUGAGUCUUAUCUCCAUGUAUCGGCUAUGGAGCAGAUUUUAGCCACCAGCCUUAUCUCUCUAAGGUAGCAAGAGAGCAAGUUAAAGUUACAGACCUUCUUAAAGCUGAUGCAAGUCUACUUGAAGGAGAUGAGCAACAAAGAAGUUAAGACUCAGAAGACCAGACAGAAUUGACCCACUUGGAGUAUUUGCUCUAUUCUCGUGACACGACAAUGAGCAAAGAGGGGCAGCUAUUAUGGCCCAAUUCAGCCCGGGGUCCAUAAAUAAAAAAACCAAAAUAAACAGUCCAUUUUGUUUACAAAUUCAGACCCAAAUUUUAAACCAUGGCCCAAAAUACAAACAGUCUAAUACAAAAUUGAAACCCAAACCAAACACUUAAACCCUAGCCCAAACUUUUAAGCCCAAAACCAAAAAACAUUUUUGGCAGAACCCUAGCAACCAGCCUCCAGCCGCCGCCAUCUAAGCAGCCCCUAGGCACCGCAUGUUGAGCGUCGUGCGCUCUUCCACCACGCCACGUUAGAGACAUGCUUGUUCACGUACCUGCAAAUGUGAAAAACGGUUGUAAAAAUUGACUAUAAAACCGAAACAAAUCGUUUGUAAAAGGGGAUCGUUUUCUUUUUUGGAUUUGAUGAAUACAAAAGUAGAGAAUAUACACAAAAAAAAAUAGAUACACGAGCAAGCUAUUUCAAUAGAAACCAAAUUGAAGAUUAGGAGGUGGUUUUUCCUUUUACUUUUCGCAUUUUUUUUCUUCUCUUUUUGCAAAUUGAUUUUAAACCUGGUUUUAAACAAAAAUCGAAGGAAAAGGCUCACUUGGAUUUGCCCCAUGGUUCGGCGUCGGAGGUGGAGGCGUUGAGGCACCGAUGACCCUCCUAUGUGGC